UUGGAGGGCAAGUCUGGUGCCAGCAGCCGCGGUAAUUCCAGCUCCAAUAGCGUAUAUUAAAGUUGUUGCAGUUAAAAAGCUCGUAGUUGAAUUUCGGGGUCAGUAGAUUGGUCGUGCCACUGGUAUGUACUGGUCUUACUGGCUCCUCCUUCCUGAUGAACCGUAAUGCCAUUAAUUUGGUGUUGCGGGGAAUCUGGACUGUUACUUUGAAAAAAUUAGAGUGUUUAAAGCAGGCUAACGCUUGAAUACAUUAGCAUGGAAUAAUGAAAUAGGACGUUCGAUCUUAUUUUGUUGGUUUCUAAGAUUGACGUAAUGAUUAAUAGGGAUAGUUGGGGGCAUUAGUAUUCAAUUGUCAGAGGUGAAAUUCUUGGAUUUAUUGAAGACUAACUACUGCGAAAGCAUUUGCCAAGGAUGUUUUCAUUAAUCAAGAACGAAAGUUAGGGGAUCGAAGACGAUCAGAUACCGUCGUAGUCUUAACCAUAAACUAUGCCGACUAGGGAUCGGAUGAUGUUAAUUUUUUAAUGACUCAUUCGGCGCCUUACGGGAAA
RNAcentral lists this ribosomal RNA (548 nucleotides) under uncultured Glomeromycotina. Its description in RNAcentral is "SSU rRNA". It matches the Rfam family "Eukaryotic small subunit ribosomal RNA", at positions 548 to 1097 of the family's 1831-position model. The record is from RNAcentral. Lineage: Eukaryota; Fungi; Glomeromycota.